Molecule: transfer RNA, 63 nt
Filed under: Trigonopterus sp. 4 AH-2016
Lineage: Eukaryota; Metazoa; Arthropoda; Insecta; Coleoptera; Curculionidae
Description: tRNA-Glu
Source: RNAcentral
GUUUAUAUAGUUUAAAAAAAACAUUACAUUUUCAUUGUAAAAUUAGGCCCAACCUUUUAAACA